GUCCACGCCGUAAACGAUGGGCACUAGGUGCUCCGGGGAGCGACCCUUGGAGUACCGGCGCUAACGCAUGAAGUGCCCCGCCUGGGGAGUACGGCCGCAAGGCUGAAACUCAAAGGAAUUGACGGGGCCCGCACAAGCGGUGGAGCAUGUGGUUUAAUUCGACGCAACGCGCAGAACCUUACCUAGGCUUGACAUGCACGGGAAAGGCUGCUGGAAACAGUGGCCCCUCUUCGGAGCCCGUGCACAGGUGCUGCAUGGCUGUCGU
RNAcentral lists this ribosomal RNA (265 nucleotides) under uncultured bacterium. RNAcentral describes it as "partial 16S ribosomal RNA". It matches the Rfam family "Bacterial small subunit ribosomal RNA", at positions 793 to 1055 of the family's 1533-position model. The record is from RNAcentral.